RNAcentral lists this long non-coding RNA (649 nucleotides) under Fukomys damarensis (Damara mole-rat). RNAcentral describes it as "lncRNA (ENSFDAG00000028816.1)". Lineage: Eukaryota; Metazoa; Chordata; Mammalia; Rodentia; Bathyergidae. The record is from RNAcentral.
CCUGCACAAGGAGAGGAGAGAGGAGGAGGGGAUAAGGCAAAAACAAUUCUGUAUCAUGACUAUCAUAAACCCUGCAAAACAAGAUUCUCUGGACUAACUGCCAUAAACUAACUGCCAGCAAGAGGGGAAAAAACAGAGUCAAGAAAACCCUCUCCUUUCUCAAGAGCAAAAGGUGAUACUAGAAAAUACCAGGGAGUGGUAAAAACCAGCGACUACCUAGCGACAGAAGGCGGAAACACACCAGAUCAGCACCAAAGCGGAUAGCGGUUAGAAACAUCCAACAAGGGUGCCAGAAACCACUUUCAGGUUUACAGAGAAGGAAAGUCAAGGGAGAACUGGCAAAGGAAAUAGUUCUAUGAAGGGUGUAAUUUACGAUGGUGAUUAUUCUUGCUAAUGAUGAAUAUUUUGAGAGAUGAAACGGACAGUAAGGGAAGAAGAUGAGAAAGGAGGAAAGGGGGCGACGAUUGAGCGCACUGCAAAAGGAAGCCACUGCAGAUGUCCCUGUCAAGCCCAAGGCGCUGGGAGGGAGGCAGCCCAGGCAUAGGCUUCCAAGUCAGCUGGGACAGAGAUGCCAACACAAAGGCCUAAUGGAAGGAAUAUGUUUGCUUCUAAUUUAGAAUAAGAAAAACUGCACGCACAGAUCAAACCC